GAGAGUAUAGCUCAGUGUUAGAGCGUGUGCCUAAUGUGCAUGAGGUCCUGGGUUCAAUCCUCAGUAUCUCCA
RNAcentral lists this transfer RNA (72 nucleotides) under Camelus bactrianus (Bactrian camel). It matches the Rfam family "tRNA". Rfam says of the family: Transfer RNA (tRNA) molecules are approximately 80 nucleotides in length. Their secondary structure includes four short double-helical elements and three loops (D, anti-codon, and T loops). Further hydrogen bonds mediate the characteristic L-shaped molecular structure. tRNAs have two regions of fundamental functional importance: the anti-codon, which is responsible for specific mRNA codon recognition, and the 3' end, to which the tRNAs corresponding amino acid is attached (by aminoacyl-tRNA synthetases). tRNAs cope with the degeneracy of the genetic code in two manners: having more than one tRNA (with a specific anti-codon) for a particular amino acid; and 'wobble' base-pairing, i.e. permitting non-standard base-pairing at the 3rd anti-codon position. RNAcentral also lists the same sequence under 1 other name. The record is from Rfam by way of RNAcentral. Lineage: Eukaryota; Metazoa; Chordata; Mammalia; Artiodactyla; Camelidae.